Molecule: ribosomal RNA, 259 nt
Filed under: uncultured prokaryote
Description: partial 16S ribosomal RNA
Rfam family: Bacterial small subunit ribosomal RNA
Source: RNAcentral
UACGUAGGGUGCGAGCGUUAAUCGGAAUUACUGGGCGUAAAGCGUGCGCAGGCGGCUUUGCAAGACUGAGGUGAAAUCCCCGGGCUCAACCUGGGAACUGCCUUUGUGACUGCAAGGCUAGAGUACGGCAGAGGGGGAUGGAAUUCCGCGUGUAGCAGUGAAAUGCGUAGAUAUGCGGAGGAACACCGAUGGCGAAGGCAAUCCCCUGGGCCUGUACUGACGCUCAUGCACGAAAGCGUGGGGAGCAAACAGGAUUAGA